GUUAGACUUUUCUGUAAUUUCUACAGUUAUUUACCAUUUAUCAACCAGUAUAAUACUGUAAAUUCUCUUUACAGUUUAUAACUGUAAUUCCCUUUGCAUCAUGGGAAUUUUCUGUGACAUUAAACACCAAAUACAGUGAUUUGCUGUAUUUUUUAAAAAUAAAGUAUAAUACUGUAUUUACCACAACGGACUAUUUGGCGCUAUUUGGAUCGUCAGGAUUUGCUUUACGAUUUAGAUUAGGAACCAUCAAGUGCAGGGUUGAAGUUUUGCCCGAGGAGAGUGAUCAGCUGACGAUGCCGGAGAACAUAAUAAGAGCUGCGUCCAAGGACAGACACCUUGCGAAGAUUUUUUCAUCCCCGUGAGUAAGGAAGAGGAAGAACAGCAAACAAGCAAGCUACAAUAAAGGCAUCCAUCGAGAAAGACAUGAGCCUUCCAGCCACACCAAGACUCAUAAUGCUUGGUCACAAUUUUUCUCUUCCACAAAGUGGAUGGUAAGCAUUGAGGGAAAGGUGGCCUAUGUUUUGGAUGAGCACCUGGGAUGUGCAGAUGCCUUUCUGUAUUCUUCAUCUUCUUCUACGUUUUCAACAUUGAAUACAAGGGGAGACUGCCUGUGCAACACUGGAACUCAUAAAACAGUAAGUACAUCUUCAUUUCUCCACACUUUGUUUUGUUCUGUUAAAUCAAAGUUUAACAUGUUUAGUUGUCUGUUUAACUAAAUCCCAAAAUUAUAUAGGUUUUUACUUUCUUGUAGCUGUAACUAGCCAGGUACCAUUAUAUUUCAUCUGCCAAAAUAAACUACAAAAUAAAAAAUUCCAGAAGAUAAAAUUAUCUUGAGGAAUUUAAGUCCUGGACAAACAACAUUUUUGGAUUGUUUUGGCAGA
This is a long non-coding RNA of Carassius auratus (goldfish), 881 nucleotides long. RefSeq lists it as uncharacterized. NCBI's taxonomy places the organism in Eukaryota, Metazoa, Chordata, Actinopteri, Cypriniformes, Cyprinidae. The transcript is spliced from 3 exons. The record is from RefSeq and is a predicted model, not a curated record.